This 1242-nucleotide ribosomal RNA is filed under the name metagenome. RNAcentral's name for it is "bacterial LSU rRNA". It matches the Rfam family "Bacterial large subunit ribosomal RNA", at positions 1564 to 2815 of the family's 2925-position model. The record is from RNAcentral.
UGAAUACGAGAUGCUACGGCAUUGAAGCAGUGUAUGUCAGACUUCCAAGAAAAGCUCGCAAUGUCAUAAACAAUAAAUGCCUGUACCAUAACCGACACAGGUGGGUAGGUAGAGUAUACUAAGGGGCGCGAGAUAACUCUCUCUAAGGAACUCGGCAAAAUGACUCCGUAACUUCGGGAGAAGGAGUGCCUUAUUUUAUAAGGUUGCAAUAACAAGAUCCAAGCAACUGUUUACCAAAAACACAGGUCUCCGCUAAGUCGAAAGACGAUGUAUGGGGGCUGACGCCUGCCCAGUGCCAGAAGGUUAAAGAAGUUGGUUAGCUUCGGCGAAGCUGAUGACUGAAGCCCUGGUGAACGGCGGCCGUAACAAUAACGGUCCUAAGGUAGCGAAAUUCCUUGUCGGGUAAGUUCCGACCCGCACGAAAGGCGUAAUGAUUUGGAUACUGUCUCGGAGAGGGGCUCGGUGAAAUAGACUUGUCUGUGAAGAUGCGGACUACCUGCACCUGGACAGAAAGACCCUAUGAAGCUUUACUGUAACUUGAGAUUGAAAUUGGACUUUAUUUGCGCAUUAAAGGUGGGAGACGUUGAGAAUAUUCUUGCGGGAAUAUUGGAGUCAUCAGUGAGAUACCACUCUUGUAAUGUUAGAUUUCUAACUUUGUAUCAUUAUCUGGUCAAAGGACAGUUUCAGGCGGGCAGUUUGACUGGGGCGGUCGCCUCCUAAACGGUAACGGAGGCGCACAAAGGUUUCCUCUGAACGUGUAGAAAUCGUAUCUAGAGUGUAAAGGCAUAAGGAAGCUUGACUGUGAGACCUACAAGUCGAGCAGGGACGAAAGUCGGUCUUAGUGAUCUGACGGUGCUGAGUGGAAAGGCCGUCACUCAACGGAUAAAAGUUACUCUAGGAUAACAGGCUGAUCUCCCCCAAGAGUUCACAUCGACGGGGAGGUUUGGCACCUCGAUGUCGGCUCAUCGCAUCCUGGGGCGGUAGUACGUCCCAAGGGUUGGGCUGUUCGCCCAUGAAAGCGGUACGCGAGCUGGGUUCAGAACGUCGUGAGACAGUUCGGUCCAUAUCCGGUGUAGGCGUUAGAAUAUUGAGAGGAGCCUUCUUUAGUACGAGAGGACCGAGAAGGACAUACCUCUGGUGUACCAGUUAUCGUGCCAACGGUAAACGCUGGGUAGCUAUGUAUGGAGUGGAUAACCGCUGAAAGCAUCUAAGUGGGAAGCCCACCUCAAGAUAAGUAUUCCC